GGGCGGGGCUGGACGAAGGCACCGCACUCGGGGCGCGGAGGUCCGAGCGCCGGGGCGCUGCCACGGCGGGCGGGGCUGCCGGCGCGCUGUGUGGCCUUGGCCAUGAAGCCGCAGCCGCCGGGCUAGGCCCGGGGCGGCUCCAGGCCUGGGCGGCCCGCAGAGGGCUAGGCCGGUCUCCGGCUCGGUUCCCGGGGCGGUGGGAGGCCGCUCACCAUGCCCGCCAAGCACCAGCAUUUCCAGGACCCUGAGGUCGGCUGCUGCGGGAAAUACUUCCUGUUUGGUUUCAACAUUGUCUUCUGGGUGCUGGGGGCCCUGUUCCUGGCCAUCGGCCUCUGGGCCUGGGGUGAGAAGGGUGUGCUCUCCAACAUCUCCGCACUGACAGAUCUGGGCGGUCUUGACCCCGUGUGGCUGUUUGUGGUGGUUGGGGGUGUCAUGUCGGUGCUGGGCUUCGCCGGCUGCAUUGGGGCCCUCCGGGAGAACACCUUCCUGCUCAAGUUUUUCUCUGUGUUCCUCGGCCUCAUCUUCUUCAUGGAGCUGGCGGCGGGCAUCCUGGCCUUUGUCUUCAAGGACUGGAUUCGAGACCAGCUUAAUCUCUUCAUCAACAGCAACGUCAGAGCCUACCGGGACGAUAUUGACCUUCAGAACCUUAUCGACUUUGCUCAGGAAUACUGGUCUUGCUGUGGAGCCCGAGGGCCCAACGACUGGAACCUCAAUAUCUACUUCAACUGCACUGACUUGAACCCCAGCCGCGAGCGCUGUGGGGUGCCCUUUUCCUGCUGUGUCAGGGACCCUGCGAUGUCCUCAACACCCAGUGUGGCUAUGACAUCCGACUCAAACUGGAGCUGGAGCAGCAGAGCUCCAUCUACACCAAAGGCUGCGUGGGCCAGUUUGAGAAGUGGCUGCAGGACAACCUGAUCGUGGUGGCCGGGGUCUUGGUGGGCAUUGCCCUCCUCCAGAUAUUUGGCAUCUGCUUGGCCCAGAACCUCGUGAAUGAUAUCAAGGCAGUGAAGGCCACCUGGAGCCUGCUGUCUCAGACCUCUCCAUACUCGCCAUGAUCUUGAGCCUGCAGGGAGCCCGCCUUGCCCCCUCGGGGCCACAGCCUCUGACACCAACAGUUUCCUCUCGCGCUUGCCUCUCAGGGUCACCCGUGGUGACGGCUACAAACUACUCAAUAAACAGCACUUUGGAAAACA
This is an RNA transcript of Meriones unguiculatus (Mongolian gerbil), 1193 nucleotides long. It is a transcript of the gene named tetraspanin 17, with no coding region annotated. Lineage: Eukaryota; Metazoa; Chordata; Mammalia; Rodentia; Muridae. The transcript is spliced from 9 exons. The record is from RefSeq and is a predicted model, not a curated record.